AGCGAACGCUGGCGGCAGGCCUAACACAUGCAAGUCGAACGAACCUUUCGGGGUUAGUGGCGGACGGGUGAGUAACACGUGGGAACGUGCCGUUAGGUUCGGAAUAACUCAGGGAAACUUGUGCUAAUACCGGAUGUGCCCUUCGGGGGAAAGAUUAAUCGCCUUUAGAGCGGCCCGCGUCUGAUUAGCUAGUUGGUUGAGGUAAUGGCGCACCAAGGCGACGAACAGUAGCUGGUCUGAGAGGAUGAUCAGCCACAUUGGGACUGAGACACGGCCCAAACUCCUACGGGAGGCAGCAGUGGGGAAUCUUGCGCAAUGGGCGAAAGCCUGACGCAGCCAUGCCGCGUGAAUGAUGAAGGUCUUAGGAUUGUAAAAUUCUUUCACCGGGGACGAUAAUGACGGUACCCGGAGAAGAAGCCCCGGCUAACUUCGUG
This 434-nucleotide ribosomal RNA is filed under the name uncultured bacterium. Its description in RNAcentral is "partial 16S ribosomal RNA". It matches the Rfam family "Bacterial small subunit ribosomal RNA", at positions 29 to 507 of the family's 1533-position model. The record is from RNAcentral.